Molecule: long non-coding RNA, 697 nt
Organism: Lagopus muta (rock ptarmigan)
Lineage: Eukaryota; Metazoa; Chordata; Aves; Galliformes; Phasianidae
Exons: 3
Source: RefSeq, a predicted model, not a curated record
CAAAGUAUAACAGAAUGUCUUUUUUGGGGGGUGAUAGAGCUGUUUUGUUUAGGUUGAAAGAAUUACUGUUUAGAAUAUUGAUUUAAUUUUCUUAAAAAAAAAAAAAAAAAAAAAAGUGAUUGUGAUGAGUGUAAGAGAACUGGUGCCAGCUUUAAUGAUCUGGAAGUGCCUGGGAGAGGAAGACUUGUGUUUUCUACAUGCUGGUUCUCAUGGAGGUACCCAACUAAAAAUAUCAAUCUUCUGGACGAAGCCCACAAUUCCUGUAUGAACUCCAGAGGAAAAAAAACGUGCUCUUGAAGAACAGGACCUCUCAUAAAUCAGACCAUGCGUCUGAGAGCAUUGCCCAGACACUGCUUGAACUCUGGAAGAUCAGUGCUAUGACUGUUGCCCUGAGAAGCCUGUUACAGCGCUUGACCACCCUCUCAAUGAAGAACCUUUUUCUGAUAUCCAGCCUGAAUCUACCCUGUUGUAGCUCCAAGCUGUUCCCUUGGGUUCUGUUGCUGUCAUCGAAAAGAGAUCAUGCCUCUUCCCUGCACCUCCCUCAUAAGGAAGCUGUAGCUGCUGUGAAGUAUCCUCUCAGUCUCCCCUUUAGACUGAAUAAACCAAGAGACACUUUGGCUAUUCCUUAGUUGUCUUCCCCUCAACACCCUUCACCAUCUUUAUUGUCCCCCUUUUGACACUCAGUAGUAGCUUUAUG